Molecule: ribosomal RNA, 475 nt
Filed under: uncultured bacterium
Lineage: Bacteria
Description: bacterial SSU rRNA
Rfam family: Bacterial small subunit ribosomal RNA
Source: RNAcentral
GAUGAACGCUAGCGGCAGGCUUAAUACAUGCAAGUCGAACGGGAUUCAGAGUAGCAAUACUUUGAUGAGAGUGGCGCACGGGUGCGUAACGCGUAUGCAACCACCUUUAACAGGUGAAUAGCCCCGAGAAAUCGGGAUUAAUACACCGUAACAUUGCGAGAUGGCAUCAUUUUGCAAUUAGAGAUUUAUCGGUUAAAGAUGGGCAUGCGUGACAUUAGCUAGUUGGUGAGGUAACGGCUCACCAAGGCCACGAUGUCUAGGGGUCCUGAGAGGGUUAUCCCCCACACUGGUACUGAGACACGGACCAGACUCCUACGGGAGGCAGCAGUAAGGAAUAUUGGUCAAUGGGCNCAAGCCUGAACCAGCCAUGCCGCGUGCAGGAANACGGCCCUANGGGUUGUAAACUGACUUUUGUCAGGGAAUAAACCUAUCUACGUGUAGAUAGCUGAAGGUACCUGAAGAAUAAGCAUCGGNU